This 253-nucleotide ribosomal RNA is filed under the name uncultured bacterium. Its description in RNAcentral is "partial 16S ribosomal RNA". It matches the Rfam family "Bacterial small subunit ribosomal RNA", at positions 524 to 776 of the family's 1533-position model. The record is from RNAcentral.
UACGUAGGGUGCAAGCGUUGUCCGGAAUUAUUGGGCGUAAAGGGCUCGUAGGCGGUCCAUCGCGUCGGGAGUGAAAAGCUGGGGCUCAACCCCAGUCCUGCUUCCGAUACGGGUGGACUAGAGGUAUGCAGGGGAGAACGGAAUUCCUGGUGUAGCGGUGAAAUGCGCAGAUAUCAGGAGGAACACCAAUUGCGAAGGCAGCUCGCUGGGACGUUACUGACGCUGAGACGCGAAAGCGUGGGGAGCAAACAGG